GGGGGUGCCGGGCUUCGAUAGAAGCUCCUGGCUACACUCGCAUACCGAGGACGCUCUUCGCCUCGUAAAUCACUGGAGCAAUAUAAUAAGUGCAAACUUAUUUACAAAAGCUAAAGUUGCUGUAGCAAAUUUAUUUGCUGUCAGAGCUUUCGCUCCGGUAAUGGCUUAAUAACCAAUACCCAUCGCGCCAACAAUACUCUGUAGUUGGAGCGCGGUGUCACUAACAGAGAGUAGCUAUAUUGGAGCGCCGACUGUAAUAUAGUGAAGUUACCCGGCUAGUCAACGCGAUUUUCGUCCCCUUCUAUCGUGUUGAUAAAAUACCAAGGGACACUAAGUAUGUAGACGGUUUAGUCAAAGUUAUCUACACGCGAGUUCAACUCUCGCCACCUCCACGA
This 395-nucleotide transfer-messenger RNA is filed under the name Patescibacteria group. RNAcentral describes it as "XYD2-FULL-39-9 sp007376295 X1 Standard tmRNA". It matches the Rfam family "transfer-messenger RNA". From Rfam's summary of the family: Bacterial tmRNA, also known as 10Sa RNA or SsrA, is named for its dual tRNA and mRNA-like properties. Its role is to liberate the mRNA from a stalled ribosome. The record is from RNAcentral.